This is a long non-coding RNA of Mirounga angustirostris (Northern elephant seal), 1264 nucleotides long. RefSeq lists it as uncharacterized. The transcript is spliced from 3 exons. The record is from RefSeq and is a predicted model, not a curated record. NCBI's taxonomy places the organism in Eukaryota, Metazoa, Chordata, Mammalia, Carnivora, Phocidae.
GCCUAGAGAUAGAGAGAAGAGAGCAUCUCUCCCUGUGAUGAUUCUUUCCUAGGAUCCGACACCUCAGACCUCCCUUCAUGUGUCAGUGACUGUAACUGGACCACACUCCACUCCCUCCCACUCUGGGACAUGGGUCAUGGGAACACCAAGGAUCUACCUGAACAACAUCAGGUGUCACUUGGGCCCUGGGGGUCUGGUGGACACGUCCACUGAAGUCCCUGCUCAUGUUCUACACUCCAGUGGGGAAAGAAGAAGACAACAGACAGGUGUUCCUGCGGCUGCACGAUCCUGAGGCUUUGAGGUCUGGGGCGAGAACAGACUUGAGUGUCUUCUGGGGAUCAAACAGCCUACUGUUCUGUCUAUCUGGGACCUCUCCGUCAGGUGUUCCUUCUCCCUGUUUCCAGCUUCCAACAUCACAUCGUCACCAUCUCCUCCUUCCUAUUGAGUUGAUGUCUUUUUAAAAAUCAUUUGCUGUAGGGAGUGCAGUUACAUACGGGUGUUCAGUCUGCCAUCCUGCCUCCUCACCUUACGAAUGAGGGGAUGGGGGUUCGAGCCUGGGGCUUCCUAGGGAGAUGAACAGCAGUAAUAUAUCUGAAGCCCAUCCUUUGUUUACAGAGAUCCUCACUUUAUGGGGCUCACCUCCCAUUGUGGAAACUGAAAAUGCAGACACACACUGGCCUGUUGCCCUUAGCAGUGGGCCUGUGAGUCUGUACUGGUAGGCGUGGGGCCAGGCAGAGGUCUCUCAUGUGACACUGUGUCCUUCCUGUGAUGGCCGGUCCUACUCCAUCCACCCCUUUGAAGCUGCAUCUGGAGCCUCCCCAAGGGGGGCCUUCUCCCCCUACAAAGUUUUCACAGCUCUGUCCCACUCUGCUUCUCUGGACUGACCCUCUCCUGCCCUUCCCAAUUCUUGACCCUUGACCUGUCCUUUAUCCAAAGGCAAGCCCCACCCUGUGGCUGUGGCCACCUCCUCAGCUGAAAUCAGACUGACGGCAUAGCUCCAUCUGCUCUGACCAGGUCUGGCCUCCUCUGUUUCACCCAGGUCGCGCACUUGGACGCUCAGAGAGCAGUGCCCCCACCCUCGGCCACCAAAGUCAUCUCAAACCAUUAUUUAAUAUUAAAAAUUUUACUAUUUCCUAGGUCUGUAUCUUGUUCUUCCCACUAGAAAUUUAAGUGUCUCAUCUCUUCACAGCUGAGCACAAGGGCCAGGCAACAUGCAAAAUGUUCAAUAAAUAUUUCCCCACAUCCCUGCUCUGUCAAGGAAAUA